GUCGACCUCAAAUCAAACAAGAUUACCCCCUGAAUUUAA
This 39-nucleotide ribosomal RNA is filed under the name Odontobuthus doriae. RNAcentral's name for it is "partial 28S ribosomal RNA". Lineage: Eukaryota; Metazoa; Arthropoda; Arachnida; Scorpiones; Buthidae. The record is from RNAcentral.